This 87-nucleotide transfer RNA is filed under the name bacterium. Its description in RNAcentral is "tRNA-Leu". It matches the Rfam family "tRNA". Rfam says of the family: Transfer RNA (tRNA) molecules are approximately 80 nucleotides in length. The record is from RNAcentral.
GCCGAGGUGGCGAAACUGGCAACCGCGUAGCACUCAAAAUGCUAUGGGCGAAAGCUCUUGUGGGUUCGAGUCCCACCCUCGGCACCA